GGGUUGUGAGGUUAAGCGACUAAGCGUACACGGUGGAUGCCCUGGCAGUCAGAGGCGAUGAAGGACGUGCUAAUCUGCGAAAAGCGUCGGUAAGGUGAUAUGAACCGUUAUAACCGGCGAUGUCCGAAUGGGGAAACCCAGUGCAAUUCGUUGCACUAUCGUUAACUGAAUACAUAGGUUAACGAGGCGAACCGGGGGAACUGAAACAUCUAAGUACCCCGAGGAAAAGAAAUCAACCGAGAUUCCCCCAGUAGCGGCGAGCGAACGGGGAGCAGCCCAGAGUCUGAAUCAGCUUGUGUGUUAGUGGAACGGUCUGGAAAGUCCGACGGUACAGGGUGAUAGUCCCGUACACCAAAAUGCACAGGUUGUGAACUCGAAGAGUAGGGCGGGACACGUGGUAUCCUGUCUGAAUAUGGGGGGACCAUCCUCCAAGGCUAAAUACUCCUGACUGACCGAUAGUGAACCAGUACCGUGAGGGAAAGGCGAAAAGAACCCCGGCGAGGGGAGUGAAAAAGAACCUGAAACCGUGUAC
RNAcentral lists this ribosomal RNA (532 nucleotides) under Klebsiella pneumoniae. RNAcentral describes it as "partial 23S ribosomal RNA". It matches the Rfam family "Bacterial large subunit ribosomal RNA", at positions 1 to 563 of the family's 2925-position model. Lineage: Bacteria; Pseudomonadati; Pseudomonadota; Gammaproteobacteria; Enterobacterales; Enterobacteriaceae. The record is from RNAcentral.